RNAcentral lists this ribosomal RNA (876 nucleotides) under Triticum aestivum (bread wheat). Its description in RNAcentral is "partial small subunit ribosomal RNA". The record is from RNAcentral. Lineage: Eukaryota; Viridiplantae; Streptophyta; Magnoliopsida; Poales; Poaceae.
ACAACCUUCAAAUGGAGGAUCGAUGGUUUCUCCUCGCUUCUCGAUAAGGAUGAAGGAUGGACCAACUCCAGUGUGUUUGUGAUCAAGGGGCUUAACUGGUACCUGAUGCUGAACCCAAGGGACAGAAAGAGUGGCGACCAGAAUGAAUAUGUUACUCUUAAACUUGUCCUGACUAAAGUAUCUGAGAGAUCCCAUAUGGUCGCGGAGACAACUUUCAAGUUCCUGAUAUAUGACCAAUUAUAUGGGAAGCACCAUGAAGAGCAUCAAGUGAGCCACGAUUUUCAGGCUACAGGCAGAUUCUCUGGGAUCUCAUGCAUGAUCCCCCUCGCGACGUGUGUUUGGCAGUCCUCUGGAUUCCUCGUCAAUGACAGCUGUGUUUUCGGUGUCCAGUUCAUCAAAGUUGUCGCUGUUAAAGGUAACGAUGUGUUGGAGACUCUGUUUCUACAGAAGACUAGCAACAUCAGCAGUGACCCACAAGCCUACACCUGGAACAUUGAUGAUUUCUUUGUGUUGAAGAACCCGAGCACCUCUCCAGAGUUUCAGCUCUGUGGACACAAAUGGUUCAUCACUAUCUAUCCAUCUGGUUCCGAUUCGAAUGGGAACUACAUCUCCCUGUAUCUGAGCAUGAAGGACACACUCCAUAAGGACUCGGGGAUCCUGGCGGAAGUUAGCAUAAGCAUCAAAGACCAGGAAACUGGCAAGCACAUGAAAACAUCAGCCCGGAUCCAGUUCAAGAAUUGUACCCGUACUUGGACAUGGGAGAAGUUGAUAUCGCUGGAAGAUUUCAAGGACUCAUCAAAAGGUUAUCUCGUGAAGAAAAAGUGCUGCAUUGAAGUCCAGGUUGCAGUCAUUGGUUCCUCCAAAUGGAGUAGCUAG